This 464-nucleotide ribosomal RNA is filed under the name Vreelandella stevensii. RNAcentral's name for it is "partial 16S ribosomal RNA". It matches the Rfam family "Bacterial small subunit ribosomal RNA", at positions 338 to 795 of the family's 1533-position model. The record is from RNAcentral. Lineage: Bacteria; Pseudomonadati; Pseudomonadota; Gammaproteobacteria; Oceanospirillales; Halomonadaceae.
CCUACGGGUGCUGCAGUGGGGAAUAUUGGACAAUGGGGGCAACCCUGAUCCAGCCAUGCCGCGUGUGUGAAGAAGGCCCUCGGGUUGUAAAGCACUUUCAGUGAGGAAGAACGCCUGGUGGUUAAUACCCAUCAGGAAAGACAUCACUCACAGAAGAAGCACCGGCUAACUCCGUGCCAGCAGCCGCGGUAAUACGGAGGGUGCGAGCGUUAAUCGGAAUUACUGGGCGUAAAGCGCGCGUAGGUGGCUUGAUAAGCCGGUUGUGAAAGCCCCGGGCUCAACCUGGGAACGGCAUCCGGAACUGUCAAGCUAGAGUGCAGGAGAGGAAGGUAGAAUUCCCGGUGUAGCGGUGAAAUGCGUAGAGAUCGGGAGGAAUACCAGUGGCGAAGGCGGCCUUCUGGACUGACACUGACACUGAGGUGCGAAAGCGUGGGUAGCAAACAGGAUUAGAUACCCCGGUAGUC